RNAcentral lists this ribosomal RNA (717 nucleotides) under Triticum aestivum (bread wheat). RNAcentral describes it as "partial small subunit ribosomal RNA". Lineage: Eukaryota; Viridiplantae; Streptophyta; Magnoliopsida; Poales; Poaceae. The record is from RNAcentral.
AUGGAAACAUAUGAAAUAACUGAGGAUGUGCUGAUUGACAAAGAAAAAGGGUGGAGAAAAGAUAUUGUGUACCAUGUACAAUUCAGUGAGGAAGAGUUUGAAGUUAAGUGUUCAUGUCGCCACUUUGAGUUCAGGGGGAUUCUCUGUAGGCAUGUGUUAUGUGUGCUCACUCACAAGAAAAUCAAGGAGGUUCCUCUACAAUACAUUCUUGAUCGGUGGAGAAAAAAUGUGAAAAGAAAACAUAACUUCAUCAGAUGCACAUAUGGCGGCAUGGAAAAUACUCCUGUUGCAAAUCGUUUUGAUAGAUUGUGCAAUAGUUUCUACCCAGUUGCAGAGAUAGGCGCCAUGUCAGAUGAUUCAUGCAAUUCAUUGAUUGAAGAUCUUUGCACCUUGAAAAUUAAGUACUCUAGCAACUCAAGUUCUGAAAAUAAUAAGGAUCAGGUUAGUGCACCAAAAGAUCAAUUGCAGGAAGAGGCGCCUUCUGAUGGGAAGACAACAAGUAAAACUAUACUAAGUCCAAUAGCUGUUAGAUGUGCUGGACGUCCUCCUUCAUUGAGAAAAGAAUCCAAGGUUGAUAAGCUUAUUCGUCAAGCAAAUGAAAAGAAGAAGAAAGCUGAACUAAGGGAGAAGAAAAAGGCUGCACAAGAAGAGAAGAAGGCUGCACAAAAGGAAGCUGAACAAAAGGUAUUCUCCAUAUAUUAUCUUUUUAUUCUGUGA